UUAUGUAAAGUCUAGCCUGCCCAGUGAUAAUUAAAUUUAACGGCCGCGGUAGCAUGACCGUGCUAAGGUAGCAUAAUCAUUUGUCCUUUAAUUGAGGACUGGUAUAAACGGCUGCACAAGAAAUUGUCUGUCUCUGCUAUAAAAUUUGAAAUUCACAUUUAAGUGAAAAGGCUUAAAUGGAAUAGGGGGACGAUAAGACCCUAUAAAUCUUUACAAUUAGGGCUUUAGUUAUUAGAAAGUAGUUAUGGAUCUAAAUCUAAGGUUUAAAUUGUUUUGUUGGGGCGACAGAAGUAUAAUAAGUAACUGCUUUGGUUUUCAUAUUAAUUGUUUUUAUUAUGGUUAGUUUAAAAGAUCCUCUUUUGGAGAUCACAGACUAAGUUACUUUAGGGAUAACAGCGUAAUCUUUCUUGAGAGUUCAUAUCGAAAGAAGGGUUUGCGACCUCGAUGUUGAAUUAAAGAACCUUUAUGGUGUAGCCGCUAUAAGAGGA
Molecule: ribosomal RNA, 488 nt
Filed under: Panulirus argus (Caribbean spiny lobster)
Lineage: Eukaryota; Metazoa; Arthropoda; Malacostraca; Decapoda; Palinuridae
Description: partial 16S ribosomal RNA
Rfam family: Bacterial large subunit ribosomal RNA
Source: RNAcentral